Molecule: transfer RNA, 73 nt
Filed under: Capra hircus (goat)
Lineage: Eukaryota; Metazoa; Chordata; Mammalia; Artiodactyla; Bovidae
Also listed under: 1 other name
Rfam family: tRNA
About the family: Transfer RNA (tRNA) molecules are approximately 80 nucleotides in length. Their secondary structure includes four short double-helical elements and three loops (D, anti-codon, and T loops).
Source: Rfam by way of RNAcentral
UCCUUGGUGGUCCAGUGGUUAAGACUCUGCCCUUCAACUGCAGGGGGCAUGAGUUCAAUCCCUGCUCAGGGAA